Neolamprologus brichardi is the source of this 274-nucleotide non-coding RNA. NCBI's taxonomy places the organism in Eukaryota, Metazoa, Chordata, Actinopteri, Cichliformes, Cichlidae. The record is from RefSeq and is a predicted model, not a curated record.
UGCCCCGUCACUACCAUCCUCCUCCCUCUCGGAUCAGUCCGCAUGUUCAUGGUGCCAGCAUUUGUUAUGGAAUAUGUUGAGCAAACCUGGAAAAGCGUCAGCUCAAGAUAUUAUUGUUGUCAUUGCUGUGAAUCUUUACCUGAUACACUGACUUGGCUCGGGACCAGCACUCCUGCUGUUGGACAGAAAGACAUCAACUUGAGAUAUGACUGCACUAUGCUGUUGCUGGUGACUCCAGUUAAUUCUACAAGACAUGCUGUGUAAGUAAACAAAC